AGCAGACGCUAGGGGAGCCUUUGGCUGAGAGGAAGGCAAACAAGCCUUCGACCCUUAGAACCUGAACUGGGUAAUGCCAGCGAAGGGAAGCGGAAGAGAACUCCU
RNAcentral lists this non-coding RNA (105 nucleotides) under Thermobrachium celere. RNAcentral describes it as "TPP sequence". It matches the Rfam family "TPP riboswitch aptamer (THI element)". From Rfam's summary of the family: Vitamin B(1) in its active form thiamin pyrophosphate (TPP) is an essential coenzyme that is synthesised by coupling of pyrimidine and thiazole moieties in bacteria. The previously detected thiamin-regulatory element, thi box was extended, resulting in a new, highly conserved RNA secondary structure, the THI element, which is widely distributed in eubacteria and also occurs in some archaea. Analysis of operon structures identified a large number of new candidate thiamin-regulated genes, mostly transporters, in various prokaryotic organisms. The record is from RNAcentral. RNAcentral also lists the same sequence under 1 other name. Lineage: Bacteria; Bacillati; Bacillota; Clostridia; Eubacteriales; Clostridiaceae.